RNAcentral lists this ribosomal RNA (497 nucleotides) under uncultured bacterium. RNAcentral describes it as "partial 16S ribosomal RNA". It matches the Rfam family "Bacterial small subunit ribosomal RNA", at positions 28 to 507 of the family's 1533-position model. The record is from RNAcentral.
GAUGAACGCUGGCGGCGUGCCUAAUACAUGCAAGUCGAGCGAACAGAUAAAGAGCUUGCUCCUUUGACGUUAGCGGCGGACGGGUGAGUAACACGUGGGUAACCUACCUAUAAGACUGGGAUAACUUCGGGAAACCGGAGCUAAUACCGGAUAACAUUUGGAACCGCAUGGUUCUAAAGUGAAAGAUGGUUUUGCUAUCACUUAUAGAUGGACCCGCGCCGUAUUAGCUAGUUGGUAAGGUAACGGCUUACCAAGGCGACGAUACGUAGCCGACCUGAGAGGGUGAUCGGCCACACUGGAACUGAGACACGGUCCAGACUCCUACGGGAGGCAGCAGUAGGGAAUCUUCCGCAAUGGGCGAAAGCCUGACGGAGCAACGCCGCGUGAGUGAUGAAGGGUUUCGGCUCGUAAAACUCUGUUAUUAGGGAAGAACAAACGUGUAAGUAACUGUGCACGUCUUGACGGUACCUAAUCAGAAAGCCACGGCUAACUACGUG